AAAUGAGAGGAGAGAAAGCAUUUAGAAAAUGAAAUCAUAUAUUAUAAAGAAAGUUGAACUCAAUAUGCAAAUCCUAAGAACCUUGACAUAGCCUUCAGGAUACAUAUGAGAAUCUCAGGAAAGGGUGAUUUUUAAUGAAAUUACAAUACCCUUUGGAACUUUAAAUCAAGCUCAGAUUGGCCCACCCAACAUGUGACAUCUGAAUGAAACCAGACGUUCUCUACUCCAGCACUGGAAGAGAAGAAUGGCCACAGUUCUUAUUGUUAAUGGGUUGAAAUGAGCCGCUUGAUGAGAGGAAAGGUUGCUAAGUUCUCUGUAAAUCUGAAUCAAUGCGCUCCAG
Silurus meridionalis is the source of this 340-nucleotide long non-coding RNA. RefSeq lists it as uncharacterized. The transcript has 3 exons. Lineage: Eukaryota; Metazoa; Chordata; Actinopteri; Siluriformes; Siluridae. The record is from RefSeq and is a predicted model, not a curated record.